This 502-nucleotide ribosomal RNA is filed under the name uncultured Acaulospora. Its description in RNAcentral is "SSU rRNA". It matches the Rfam family "Eukaryotic small subunit ribosomal RNA", at positions 591 to 1092 of the family's 1831-position model. Lineage: Eukaryota; Fungi; Glomeromycota; Glomeromycetes; Diversisporales; Acaulosporaceae. The record is from RNAcentral.
CCAAUAGCGUAUAUUAAAGUUGUUGCAGUUAAAAAGCUCGUAGUUGAAUUUCGGAAUCUGUCCGUCGGUCGGGCUUCACUGUCCGUACUGGUGUGGUGGGUUCUUACCUUCUGAAUAACCAGCAUGCCAUUCACUUGGUGCGCUGGGGAAGCAGGACUAUUACCUUGAAAAAAUUAGAGUGCUCAAAGCAGGCUAGUGCCUGAAUACAUUAGCAUGGAAUAAUAAAAUAGGACGGCAUGGUUCUAUUUUGUUGGUUUCUAGGAUCACCGUAAUGAUUAAUAGGGAUAGUUGGGGGAAUUAGUAUUCAAUUGUCAGAGGUGAAAUUCUUGGAUUUAUUGAAGACUAACUUCUGCGAAAGCAUUUGCCAAGGAUGUUUUCAUUAAUCAAGAACGAAAGUUAGGGGAUCGAAGACGAUCAGAUACCGUCGUAGUCUUAACCAUAAACUAUGCCGACUAGGGAUCGGACGAUGUUAAUUUUUUAAUGACUCGUUCGGCGCCUUACG